GACGAACGCUGGCGGCGUGCUUAACACAUGCAAGUCGAACGGAAAGGCCUCUUUCGGGGGGUACUCGAGUGGCGAACGGGUGAGUAACACGUGAGUAACCUGCCCUUGACUUUGGGAUAACUUCAGGAAACUGGGGCUAAUACCGGAUAGGAGCUCCUGCUGCAUGGUGGGGGUUGGAAAGUUUCGGCGGUUGGGGAUGGACUCGCGGCUUAUCAGCUUGUUGGCGGGGUAGUGGCUUACCAAGGCUUUGACGGGUAGCCGGCCUGAGAGGGUGACCGGCCACAUUGGGACUGAGAUACGGCCCAGACUCCUACGGGAGGCAGCAGUGGGGAAUAUUGCACAAUGGGUGGAAGCCGGAUGCAGCAACGCCGUGUGCGGGAUGACGGCCUUCGGGUUGUAAACCGCUUUCGCUCAUGACGAAGCUUUGUGUGACGGUAGUGGGUAAAGAAGCACCGGCUAACUACGUG
RNAcentral lists this ribosomal RNA (467 nucleotides) under uncultured bacterium. RNAcentral's name for it is "partial 16S ribosomal RNA". It matches the Rfam family "Bacterial small subunit ribosomal RNA", at positions 28 to 507 of the family's 1533-position model. The record is from RNAcentral.